This 203-nucleotide ribosomal RNA is filed under the name uncultured bacterium. RNAcentral's name for it is "partial 16S ribosomal RNA". It matches the Rfam family "Bacterial small subunit ribosomal RNA", at positions 1300 to 1500 of the family's 1533-position model. The record is from RNAcentral.
GCAGCCUGCAACUCGGCUGCAUGAAGCUGGAAUCGCUAGUAAUCGCGGAUCAGAAUGCCGCGGUGAAUACGUUCCCGGGUCUUGUACACACCGCCCGUCACACCAUGGGAGUCGGGAAUGCCCGAAGUCAGUGACCCCAACCGGAAAGGGGGGAGCUGCCGAAGGCAGGCCUGGUAACUGGGGUGAAGUCGUAACAAGGUAAC